Molecule: long non-coding RNA, 1422 nt
Organism: Daphnia pulicaria
Lineage: Eukaryota; Metazoa; Arthropoda; Branchiopoda; Diplostraca; Daphniidae
Exons: 4
Source: RefSeq, a predicted model, not a curated record
GUGAGCUGGCUAAAGAUGGUAAAUGUGAAUAGUUAAUCAUAAUAAAUUGUAUAUUACAUUUCAAUAAUUUUGUUUAGCUCUAAUUCGAAGAUUACAAGCUUAGUUACUUGAGCAAAACCGGCUGUUAGAAGCCGGAAGGGGUACUUUUCAAACUGUUGAAUCUAAAAAUGGUACUUUUUUAAGUGUAACAGAUGUCUUGCCAAGAUUUUCAUCAGUGACUGAACGGGUUGGCCACGAGCUUCUUAAAAUACAAAAAUGGAACAGUGGUGUGGCAGAACGAGCCAAAAAAAAGUAAGGAUAGUCUACAUAAGCUGACUGAACAUUAUUUCUGCUGCUUGAAAGAAAUAUGGCAUCCCAAAGACAAAUGCCCAGACGAAGAACAACUUGAAGAACUGUCAAGCCUCUCCUAGGGCAUUAGGAACAUCAAAUACUACCGAGACUAGGGCAGUGCUGAGUUGUGCAGUGAAAUAGAGAAGCCUGGCAACCUGUGGAGGAUACUAUGAAAAGCAUGAAAAGUGGAAAAGUUUUGAAGCAUGUGAUGAGCAGCGUGCCGAUGAAAAAUCACUUAAAGGAAUAUUUCCAAAAAUUGUGUACAUCAUUCCAAUGCAAAACGGGAUUGUUGGAACGCCUGAUCCUAAUUUUCAAGUAACGACAGUUACAUGCAGGGAUUGUAAUAGGAAUAUUGCAAGAGAAAGGAUGUUCACUCAAAGGGAAAACGAAUUUUAAUGUAUUUUAAUACAGAAUUAAUAAACAUCUCAUCAUUUUGUCUAUUUUUAGUUUUGAGGAAAUGCCAUUGGAUGGGGUGUUGUAGUCUCGACUGUCUAAGUGACUGAGUGUGUCUGUGUAUUUGUAUUACUUAGUCUGGGAUGGCUGGUCUCUAAAUGGGGUUGGAGGAUGAGUGGCCAUUUAGCGGUAGAUAUUACAACAUGGGGUAAACAAAUACGGAUGUAGAUUGUCUUCUGAUCUUUCUCCUGCGGUCGUUAAUGAAGAAAGUCCAUCUCCCUCAACGAGCACCGUUUGCAACGAUUCAAGUCAUUCUCCAACGCAAAUCACAAGAAAGAAUGAUUACAGUCAGAGUCGUUCUACGAUGUUCCAUCUUUCCAUGCAAGGAGAAAGGAGCCCAUCUGGCAACGAUUCGAUUGUUUCUCCAACGCGAAUGAGAAGACAAGAUAUAGCUACCGUUCCAGUCGUUCUCCAUAAAAAAGCAUUGAAUCCAAAAAUAAAAAAAAGACGUCGUUUGUCAAGGAGUCCAUCUAGCAACGAUUUGAUUCGUUCGCAAACGCAAAUGAGAUAACAGGAUAGCUGCUGUUAGGGCGCACCUUCCAAUAAGCCCAUCUGCUACCUUCUCCCCUUGAUUAUUAAAUACACGGAGAGUUGGGUUUCAACACUCUGUAUUUCACACGUCACUUGACUUGUAUAUGU